RNAcentral lists this small nuclear RNA (103 nucleotides) under Neotoma lepida (desert woodrat). Lineage: Eukaryota; Metazoa; Chordata; Mammalia; Rodentia; Cricetidae. The record is from RNAcentral.
GUGUUUGCUUCGGCAACACAUUAAAAAUUAGAACAUACAGAGAAGAUUAACAUGGCCCCUGCACAAGGAUGACAUGCAAAUUUGUAAAGUAUUCUAUAUUUAA